Molecule: non-coding RNA, 493 nt
Organism: Python bivittatus (Burmese python)
Lineage: Eukaryota; Metazoa; Chordata; Lepidosauria; Squamata; Pythonidae
Source: the annotation of a RefSeq genome assembly
CCCCAUAAAGCUCACUUGCAUUAACACAUUGGCUCAAUCUCCAGAAGCCCAAAAACCUCUCAACAUGUUGGGAGCAUCUCUCCUUGUCCUUCUGGGCAUCUGGUGCACAGGAUCCAGUUCUCAGCCUACAGUGAUUCAGGAAUCUUCCAUGUCACCUUCCCUUGGACAGACGGUUAAACUCUCUUGUUCCCUGAGCAGUGGACAAGUAACAUCUUACGACCAAUCAUGGUAUCAACAAAAAGAAGGAAGUCCUCCCAGAUUCCUUUAUUAUUACUACAGCAGUGCAACCGCAGGCUCUGGAGACCUCAGCCGCUUCUCUGCCUCCAAGGAAAGCAACCAAAAUAAAUGGUAUUUGACCAUCAGCAACCUCCAGCCAGAAGAUGAGGCUGAUUAUCACUGUGCUGUUUGGUAUGGCUCCAGUAGUGUGUAUCUCUUCGGCCCUGGAACCCAGCUCACAGUCCUAGGUAAGUCUCUUUAAAAUGCAGAUACAAUU